Molecule: unclassified non-coding RNA, 318 nt
Filed under: Hevea brasiliensis (rubber tree)
Lineage: Eukaryota; Viridiplantae; Streptophyta; Magnoliopsida; Malpighiales; Euphorbiaceae
Source: RNAcentral
GUCAAUGUAAUCAGCCCAAAACCUCGCUUGUGAUCGUUGAUAAGGAUCUGAAGGGAGCAGAGGAGAUCUAUCAUUCCAUACCUGGUCGAUGUACUCGACAAUGACAAGAGACUCGCAAGUGGGUUUCCCAUUAUGAAUAAGGACAGGAAUCAUCUUGUGAAUUGGGUUCAUAUCCACAAGCAGAGGGCUCUUAUCUACCAAGUUCUGUUCCCUGGCCUCAUAUUGGAUCCCUUUCUCUUCUAGGGCAAUCCUCACCCUCAUUGCAUAAGAGCUUGACCAGAAAUCCAAUAGAAUCACUUUGUCCUCCAUCUUUCUUUU